This is a long non-coding RNA of Drosophila montana, 676 nucleotides long. RefSeq lists it as uncharacterized. The record is from RefSeq and is a predicted model, not a curated record. NCBI's taxonomy places the organism in Eukaryota, Metazoa, Arthropoda, Insecta, Diptera, Drosophilidae. The transcript is spliced from 4 exons.
UGAUUGUUUCUCGGAGGGCCGCGCCGGCUGGCUCAUCGGUUCUCUAGGUGUAGUCCCAUUCCUGGCCCGCAGUCCUCACAAUCGAUAUCAACAAAACUACAACGUCUGUAGCAAAACAUACAUAUACAACACUAUUCAAAAUGAACCACAUAAUCGAUAACAACAAACAAUUGAACAACACUAACAGCUGUAACAAAAAGUAAAUGUAAACAACAAAGAUCGGGCCCCGGUUCCGGACCCCGCGUACCCUGAGACGAUCACCUGAUCUCGUCUCCGUCAUUUUGGCCACUACAUGGCCUGCAUCAGCUCGUGUCGGCUGUUAUGCCCACUCUCCCUAUCAAUUGAGACUUAGCCGGACAUUUCUCUCUUCAGUAGGGUAUCCCCAUUCUGCAAUUUAUUCUAUGCAAGCUGACAUUGGCUUCAAUUCAAUACAUUUUAUUUAAUUUACUACAUUAAAUAGAAGAGGCGACGAAACACUGCAAAGUUAUUGCCAGUCGCCACAAAAAAGAAAACAAGAAAGCAAUUAUGAGGUAAUCGUUGCAGGUAGGUGAUAUAUAUAUUCAAUCGCUUAAUUCUACCGUACCCAGCCUAAAGAGCUCUUUGGGGGUGGUAAGGGGCGAUAGAAAGGGGUAAUUCAAGUUAGGUAUGUAUGUGAGUAUUGUUCGCGCAAGUACCA